CGCCUAAGAGCUUUCGCCUUCGCCAGGCUUGAGAGCUUGUGCUGCUUUAUCCUUCCUUGGAUGUCUGAAACUUGUAUGCGUUGGAUAACCUUUUGAAUUGCAUGUAACUGUCGUUGUUUGUGGUUGGGAGGUACCCAUCUAAUACUGUUGUGGUCUUGUUGUUUGAGGUCAUUUGAUGAUCGUGCGUCUACUGGAUUUGUGAUCUUUGAAUAUAUGUUUUGAAGGAAUUUUGGUUGGUUGAAUCACUUUAAUAUUUGUAGUUGAGUAUGAUUUCCAACUCAUAAUUUAAGAAAUACAUUUUGUAGUACAGUUUCUAGGAACAUUUUAUUUUAUUUUGUAUACUUUUCAAAAAAGAAAUAUAUGUAUGUGCCAUUCAAUACUUGGGAAAUUGGCCUGUUACUUGUUUCUCAAAACAUUCGCAGU
This 423-nucleotide unclassified non-coding RNA is filed under the name Hevea brasiliensis (rubber tree). Lineage: Eukaryota; Viridiplantae; Streptophyta; Magnoliopsida; Malpighiales; Euphorbiaceae. The record is from RNAcentral.